Lingula anatina is the source of this 7510-nucleotide unclassified non-coding RNA. The record is from RefSeq and is a predicted model, not a curated record. Lineage: Eukaryota; Metazoa; Brachiopoda; Lingulata; Lingulida; Lingulidae.
CUUACCGGUGAGCUUUUCUUUCUGCGUGUUUUGAUUACGACGCGCACACUGUGUUAGUUCAGCAUGCGAUCGAUACAAUAUGAAUUGAAAUUGUGCGAGGGAAAAUACGUGUACUUAAUAUUGACUUAAUUUUAUUGUAAAUGUGCUUUGCAGUAUAUUUGUAACAUUUUCUAAAUAACGUUUUUACUACCGGCGGUCAGAGUACUACAAGCGUUGAUCUUUGAGGUUUGCAAACGUGUGAAGUUGCAUAUUGUACUUCAGCAGUUCGUGAUUUACCUGAAAGCUUAUAUACUGGCAAACGAGUAGUUUCGUAUUAACUAAUAGCAGGAGGGGAUGCCAAGCGGCCUCUUGCUUGAGAUCCGCCGCGCGUAGUGCUUGCAAACAUUACACAUAUUCGCGCUGGUGUAGUGUAUUAAUAUCUACAGAUAUAUAGCUCGCUUCGGUAGAGCGCGGUACACCUUCAACGGCGCAGCGGGGAUGUAUUUCUAGACCAGCACACACGCAGCUGAUUUACUGAUGUUAGAGAUUGACCAUAUAUAGCACAUGAUCAUAUCUGAGGCUGGCUGCUAGAUAGGUGUGGAGAGAGUUAUGACUGCCUCAUGUGCUGAAGAGGGCUAAAAUUAACAAUAGUGUUGGACGUCAGCUGCAGGAGGAUCAGGUAGCUUCAGCUUGCUGCACUGUAUUAUCCACACCAGCAGCACUGCUAGGUAGCUAGAAGCCUGUGGCCAGGUAUGCCUCUGCUUGCUGUACUACUCUAGUGCCCAGAGAGUCAGUCAACUCAAGAUGGAGUGUCACACCAAAAGCAGGAUGUUUCCUUGGUCGCCUGUAACAAUAAUGUUGUCUGUGGCAGUGAUGUUGUUAGCUAUGCAGACUGUCAAUGCACAGAACAAUACUGAAACUGGUAUAGAAGGCGAGGAUCCCCACUAUGACAAAUGCCUGGGGAUACGUCCCUGUAAGAAAGGGAAUAUGUUACCAGUGUGGCAGCCAGAUGAAAACCUCAGUAGUGGAGACAAGGCAGCUAGAGCUAUAGUGUACUUUAUUAGCCUGAUUUACACGUUUCUGGGAGUUUCGAUCGUAGCAGAUCGUUUCAUGGGAGCGAUUGAAGUGAUUACUUCCAAAGAAAAAGAACUAACAGUCAAAAUGGCCAAUGGAGAUACACAAAUUGUAGUGGUACGGGUUUGGAAUGAAACUGUUUCAAAUUUAACUCUUAUGGCUCUUGGUUCUUCAGCCCCAGAGAUUUUACUGUCAAUUAUUGAAAUUUGUUUUAAUAAUAACUUUAAAGCUGGAGAUCUUGGCCCUGGUACAAUUGUAGGAAGUGCAGCCUUUAAUCUCUUUGUCAUCAUUUCAAUUUGUGUGUAUGUUGUCCCUGAAGGAGAAGUGAGACGCAUAAAGCAUCUUCGCGUAUUCUUUAUCACUGCAUCGUGGAGUAUAUUUGCAUAUUUGUGGUUGUAUUUCAUUAUUGCAGUAAUAACACCAGGGGAGGUGAAUCUCUGGGAAGCUGUCGUUACGCUUAUGUUUUUCCCUCUAACUGUAAUAAGUGCAUACAUUGCAGACAAAAAACUACUACCACAUAGAUUUUUGAGGAAAAGAUACAGGGCGAAUCGUGGGAAGACCAUGGUGGUGCAAGCAGAAGGCGAUGUUGAAUUGGCAGACGGUAAAGCAAACAAUGUAGAAUUCAAGGGGCUAGAGGAUGCUGGGGAGGAUGUUCGUGAAUUUGAGCGCCAUCGGAAAGAAUACAUUGAAAUUCUGCGAGAGCUUCGCAAAAAGAAUCCCAAUGCUGACAUGAAAACAUUGGAGGAAAUGGCAGAAUAUGAGUUGCUGAACCGUGGGCCAAAAAGUCGAGCCUACUAUCGCAUCCAAGCCACUCGUAAGCUUACUGGUGGGGGUAAUGUCAUCAAAAAGGCUAAGAUUGAGAAGACACUUCAUGAAGAGGCCGAGGAAAAAGAGGAGGAACCAGAUGACAACAUCACCAGAGUAUUCUUCGACCCUGGGCACUAUACAGUAAUGGAAAAUGUUGGCAAGUUCAGCAUCACAGUUACCAGGAAGGGUGGCGACUUGAGCCAAACCCUGUAUGUAGACUAUAGAACGGAAGAUGGGACUGCCAACGCAGGCACUGAUUAUGAGCAUGCAGAGGGCACCGUCAUAUUUCAGACCGGGGAAGUUCACAAGCAGUUUGAAGUCACCAUCCUGGACGAUGACAUCUUUGAAGAAGACGAGCACUUCUAUGUCCAUCUAAGCAAUCUGCGUCUUGGUGAUGCCAAUGGAAUGUUUCACAGUCAUGGCCAGCAUGAUCAGGAGCUGGUCAAACUGGACACCCCAUCUACAGCCACUGUCAUGAUCCUAGAUGAUGACCAUGCUGGUAUCUUCCAUUUUGCGGAGAGUGAAAUGGCUGUGGUUGAGUCUGUUGGGCACGCAGAGGUGAAGGUGUGUCGGUCUUCUGGGGCACGUGGUCGUGUGAGACUACCCUACCAAAUCACUGAAGGAACAGCCAAGUUGGGCAAGGAUUUUGAAGAGGAAUCUGGGGUCUUGAUAUUCGAAAAUGAUGAAUAUGAGAAAUUUAUCAGCGUUCCAAUUAUUGAUGGAGAAGAAUAUGAGAAAAAUGUGUUUUUUAGCCUGGUGCUGGAAGAACCUCAAGUGGUCAGAAGAGGAUCAGUGGACUCUGAAGAUUCGGAAUCAGGUAAAGACGCUGAUGUCAAUGAAGUUGAAUUGGAGGAUGCUACACCAAUUGAUCAAAUGACGGAAGACCAGAAAAUCGCCAUGCUCGGCAAACCGCGACUUGGAGAAAAAAUUCACACUGUUGUUCGAAUUCAUGAGAGCCAGGAAUUUAAGAGCACAGUAGACAAGCUGUUGAAGAAAGCCAACAUGGCAGUUCUCAUUGGUACUUCAUCGUGGAAAGAACAGGUUCUCGAGGCCAUCAGUGUCAGUGCAGGAGAUGAUGAUGAUGGGGAAGGAGAGGAGAAAUUGCCCUCAUGCUUGGAUUAUGUCAUGCACUUCCUGACCAUUUUCUGGAAGUUACUUUUUGCUUGCACUACACCGCCUACAGAUUACCUUGGUGGUUGGGCUGCGUUUGUUGUAUCAAUCCUGAUGAUUGGUGUCCUGACAGCGUUCAUCACUGACUUGGCCUCACAUCUGGGUUGUACCAUUGGUCUGCAGGACACAGUUACAGCAAUAUCAUUUGUUGCUCUGGGUACAAGUGUUCCAGAUACUUUUGCCAGCAAAGUGGCAACAAUUCAAGAUAAGUAUGCAGAUGCCUCCAUUGGUAAUGUUACCGGCAGCAAUGCUGUGAAUGUAUUCCUGGGCAUUGGUAUUGCUUGGACCAUUGCAGCAGCUGUCCACCUGGCCAGAGGAGAGCCAUUUGUCGUGAAGCCUGGAUCUCUGGGUUUUUCUGUCACAAUGUUUUGCAUAUUUGCAGCCGUUGCAAUUGCGAUAUUAAUAAUUAGAAGAAGGCCAUUCGUAGGAGGAGAGUUGGGUGGGCCUUACAAAUUCAAGCUACCAACAACUGUGUUCUUUGUUGGACUAUGGGUUUUUUAUGUGUUGUUAUCGGCAUUUGAAAGUUAUUGUAUAAUUCCAGGGUUUUAAGAACCCUGGGUCCCCUGUUGUGUUUACCCUUAGAUUGGUAACUUCUGUCAACCUUUGAUAAGGCAACAGAGAGCAAGUGCACUGUUAAUGCCUGUGAUGAUCAGGUCCAGACUAUGUAUGAGCAUGAGUAAUAUGAACAUGUCCAAUAGACAUGCAGAUAUAAUCUGAUGUAUUGCACGAAAGAUUGAGACAAUAUGACUGUGAUGAAGAGUGGUGACUUCUGAAAAAAAAAAAAGAACUGUUCACAAAAGAAAACAAAAUGAGGAUGGACAAUGCACUGGUAUCUUGAGAAUAGUGAUUGUCAGCUGCAGCCUGUACACACCUAAUUUUCAUCUAAAUGCAGUGUUGUUUCUUAAACACUCAAAUACCUUAAAUUCAUUCACUGGGUAUCACAAAAUUAUUGUAUAUUUCUGUACUGUAUAAAGGUAAAUGUAAGUUGCAAAGUGUUAACAGGCCAGCACCAAACACAAUAAUCUGUAGUUUUGAAGAAGUGAAACAUAUGACUGCAGUGAUAAUGUCAUAUUGUGAUCAAGUCCCAAUUAUUUAAAUCACUCAAUUUUAUGUCUCUACACUUUGCAAUGGAAAUCACAGUUAACUAAGUUUUAAAUGUAUGUCAGUGUUUUAAAGACUUUUUUAAAAAUUGCACAUAUCGGUGGUCUGAGUUUAAAGAACAGUAAUUAUAGAAGCAUAAUUUGAGUAAGGCAUAUUUUCUUCUUUUGAUAUAAGACUAAAUCAAUAAAUGUUUUUAAAAAUUUAUAACUGACAAUAGUAACUAUAUCACACAUGUUGACAAAACAGACUUUACUUUUUACAUAUAACCAUGGAAGUAGAGCUCUACUUCUAUGUUAUAACCAAUCUGACAAGGUAAUUGUUUUUUCAUUUGAUUGUUAUUUUGUUUGUUGACACACAAUAUGUUUGUUUAAUUAUACAUUAUUAGUGGCACAGUGCAAUGGUUGUAAAAGCCCCACCCCUUUUAUGAUCUAGUUUACAUUUUGCUGUGUUUAUUUUCACUGCGUUUAUUAUUAUUAUUAUCUCUGGUUUAUGUCAGUAUUUACGAGUAUCACACUUACCCAUCCAGUAUUUUUCUAGUGCACCUAGUUUUUAAAAAGAAAAAUCUUCCAUAAGGGUUAAAAAAAAACAAUGUUGUAUUUUGAUGUAGUUAUGUGUCUUUCAUUUGACUUGAAAUAUACUGUACAUUUAUAUGAUUAAAAAGACCAAUUUGUACAUGAUCAAGAGUGUAACAAAGUUGGUGGCAUUUUUUCUGUCAUUUAGCUAUUUUCAAAUGGCAGUUCUUUGAAUGAUACCUUGAGAAAUUUUUAGCUGGUGUAUUUUAUUUUACAUUCAUGGAAUAUGUCACUAAUUUCCCUAGUGUUGUUCACAUGGUAGUUAGUUGUUUUUUUUGUUUUUUUGGUUGUAUUUAUUUUCCUUCUGCAAUGGUUAAUUUCUCCUAUGGUCAAUAAUGGCUUGGUGAUAUUACUUCUAAAGCUAUAUUUGCACUUUAUCAAAUAGUUUUUUUAACAUAGCAAAAUUAAAGUAUGUACUCCCAGCAGUGGCCUUUUUGCCAACUGCCAUGAAGCCUUUGAACUAGCUCAAUUUAUAAAACAAUAAUCAAAGUAAUGACAUUUCUUUCCAGCUUGUUAUGUGUAAGGGCAGUACUGACAUAAAGAGUGAUUUGAGCUGAAAUGUUAUUAAGAUAUAUCAGAGCUUUCCUUUCUUUUUACAUAGCUUUUGCUAUUUUUGAAAAAGAAUUGUGGUCUGUUAAAUGGUGUAAGGGUUGUACAUAAUCUUUUAAACAAAAAACAAUCUUUAAACUGUUCUUUCUGUAAAUUUUCAAGAAAUCGCACUUAACUGUCCAAUUUAUAUGGUCUUUGCUGGUAGUAUUUAGUUGUCGCGUGUAUUAUACAUUUCAUACAAUCAAAAGGAGAUCAAAGUAAAACAGUUAUGUCAGUAGGAUUGCUUUUCAAUAGUGUCUUUCAAAGUUACUUAAUAUUGGCUUUUGAAUAGUUAUCAAAAAUUACCAAAUGUUCACACCCUUUGAUUGCUAGUGAAUGCAUUAUAUAGGUUUCCAUGUCACUUAUUAUUGUAAUUUUUGUUAAUACAUGCAGGGUAAUUUGCAUUGUUUCAGCAGCAGAGAGUUAUAUCAGGCGUUAUGUAUAUUUGCAGCACAUAAAUAUUAUUUAUGGCUUCUAUUAGUAGAAAGCUAUAGGACUGUUGCGUACCUCAUGUUUGAUCUCCUUGUUACAAAGGUGUACACAUUUUUAAUCGUCUCUUUCCACAGUUAUUUUUAAACCCAUCACUCAUCCUUUUAAUCAUCCUUUGUUUUUAUGUUUCAUAUUUUCGAUAUUGAUACUAGAAGGUGAAGUUAUGCCACAAGGACUGUGUAUUUGCUGUGGAGAUUUUUGGCUCUGUUAAACACUAGAGAGAUACGAUUUGGGUAGAUCAUGAACUUUCUGACUUCGUUUUGAAAAAAUGGUUUUGGACUUCUUAGUCUAAAGCAAUCUCCCGUGCGAGCUUGUUUUCAAAUAUUGUAUGGUAAUCAAGGUAAAUAGCAGGCACACAUCAGAUUUUGAAAUUACUGACAUUUAGAAUACUGUCAUUAGUGACUGGUCACACAUUGUUGGUCCUCCUUCAUCUUAAAGCAAUGGUUAUUUUAAAUUGCAAAUGAAUUAUGUUGUAGAUUUAUAUGCCUUUUUGGAAAUCAACAUCCCUUAGCUAAUAGUUCAUUUGCAGGGAAGAUAAAUAUUAAAAUAGAAUUGUUCCAGAAAUCUUAAUUUAUUUACAUAAUUGAUGAAUGGUCAGGGCCAUGGAAUGCAAUGACUGGUUAAUGACAAAUUUACAACUUGGCUACUUUCAUCUUUGUUUAUGUUUCUCAUAAAAUGAUACCAGUUUAGCAAAAAUAAGAUUAGCGAAAAUUAAUGUUUUCCUACAGAAUUUUGUUUUCAGAAUCUAGUCUGUAGACUAUUGCACCUGCAGGAAAAGUGGUAAAAUUACUGGGUUUUUUUUCUCAUUUCUCAUAUUGUUAUUAUUAGUACGUGUUAGCACCAUUUUCACAAUUGCAAUAACAUUAAGGGUUAACAGCUUUGCAAAUAUUGUAAAGCUACCUCUUUUAUAACAUCUGUGUUCUCUUUGGAGGGUCUUAGGAUAGUUGCAUAUGGUAUGUAGCAUUUAAUGUUUUCAAGACCUUCAAUCAUGUUGUAUUUAAACAAUAGUAGUUUUAAAACCUAGUUAUUCAAUUAUGAUAUAAAUACACAUUAUCCCAAUAACAUUUCAAGCCAUAGUUUUAAUGCGCUUUCAGUAUGAAAUUUGCUCUGGUAGUCUGAAAAAAACCUGCAAUGGGACCACCUCAGUUUAUACUGAAAAGUGGUUGUUGUGUUCCAGUGACAUAACUUCUACCAUCAACCCGUUUCAACAAACAGUCAAGUUUGAUGAUCAUUUCUCUAUAUCCCUAGAGAGAGAGUGGUGCCCUUGUAAUUCCUGGUCUUCCUUUGAUAUUUAAGACCUAAACAUUCCCUUGUUAUCCCAUGUGAUGUUUGCAGGAACUGGAUCCCGUUUGAUAUGGUCAAAAGGCACCAUUGCCUUGGAGAAGUUGCCAUGGCAUCAUUGCUAUGACGACAGUCCACUCACCGUUAUACAACAAUCCACUUAGCUUUAUCUGGACUGAUAGCUUAGAGCAGGUUUUUGUAUUAUUAUUACUCUAGUUUUUGUGAGCUUCUUUGGUUUAUCAUGAAAUGUCUUUUGCUUGGUGCUUUAUUGCCAUUACCUAGUGCACAUUUACUGAAAUGUCUUGCCUUGUUAACAUUUUAUGCCAAGGUUUUAUCUAUUUGACAUUUUCCUUUGUGCAAAUUUUCUUAGUUUUUGUACACUGAUUCUCUUUAGGGAAUGUUUAGACUGUUAUUCACUGAGAAUAAAGCAGCAGUGUUUGAAGUGUGAA